This 445-nucleotide ribosomal RNA is filed under the name uncultured bacterium. RNAcentral describes it as "partial 16S ribosomal RNA". It matches the Rfam family "Bacterial small subunit ribosomal RNA", at positions 354 to 796 of the family's 1533-position model. The record is from RNAcentral.
GUAGGGAAUAUUGGGCAAUGGAUGCAAGUCUGACCCAGCCAUCCCGCGUGCCGGAAGAAGGCCCUCAGGGUUGUAAACGGCUUUUGACGGUGAAGAAUCGACAGGAUGCGUCCUGUUUUGACGGUAGCCGUUGAAUAAGCACCGGCUAACUCCGUGCCAGCAGCCGCGGUAAUACGGAGGGUGCGAGCGUUGUCCGGAUUUAUUGGGUUUAAAGGGUGCGUAGGCUGGAAGGUCAGUCAGCGGUGAAAAGCUGUCGCUUAACGAUAGUCUUGCCGCAGAUACUUCCUUUCUUGGAUGAGGAGGAGGCCACUGGAACGGAUGGUGUAGCGGUGAAAUGCAUAGAUAUCAUCCAGAACACCGAUUGCGAAGGCAGGUGGCUGUACCUUAAUCGACGCUGAUGCAUGAAAGCAUGGGGAGCAAACAGGAUUAGAAACCCUAGUAGUCC